This 177-nucleotide ribosomal RNA is filed under the name uncultured bacterium. RNAcentral's name for it is "partial 16S ribosomal RNA". It matches the Rfam family "Bacterial small subunit ribosomal RNA", at positions 1325 to 1500 of the family's 1533-position model. The record is from RNAcentral.
GCUGGAAUUGCUAGUAAUGGCAGGUCAGCAUACUGCCGUGAAUACGUUCCCGGGCCUUGUACACACCGCCCGUCACACCAUGGGAGUCGAUAACGCCCGAAGUCAGUGACCCAACCGUUAAGGAGGGAGCUGCCGAAGGCGGGAUUGAUAACUGGGGUGAAGUCGUAACAAGGUACC